AUGUUGGAACAUGGAGUGGGAUGGAGAGGGGUUUUCUUCCUGUUCUCCAUUCCUGGACAAGCUGGAACUGGUGUUUGCCUAUCUGGAGCUGUCCCAGGCUCCAUCCACCAUUCCAACCCCAUCCUCAGUAACCUCCUGAUUCCCCUCCUUCAGGGGAAUUUUAACUCCUGUCCUCUGCUGCUGGGUAGAUCCUUGAGCUGGGAAGGACGUGAGACAGAGGGAAAGGAACAGAGGGAAAGGAACGGCCCUGUCCUGCCCCUUCCCCAGCUGAAAACCACUGCAGAAUUCCAGGAAAGCAUUAAAAAGACUGGGUCUGUUCCCAAGCUUUGGCUGGCAAAUGGGACAUGGAGCUGGAUUCUCCAGCUGUGGGAAGGUUCCUCAGGAAACAGAGCCUGGGAGUGCAGAGAGAGGAGGAGGAAGAUGAGGAAGAGGAGGAGGAGCAUCCACAGCACAUCCCCUGUCUCCCAGAUUUCCACUCUUAUCUUUCUGCAUGCAAAGGUAGGAACAGCCUACCCACAGGAGCCAAUCCCAGGUGCUGCCCCUGCUCCUGGUGCCCAUCCCCACCCGGAGUACCCCCGGACCGUGCAGUGCCA
This 593-nucleotide long non-coding RNA is filed under the name Zonotrichia albicollis (white-throated sparrow). RNAcentral describes it as "lncRNA (ENSZALG00000014467.1)". The record is from RNAcentral. Lineage: Eukaryota; Metazoa; Chordata; Aves; Passeriformes; Passerellidae.